GGGUAUCUUGCUGGAGAUCCCUCCAUACUGGAGGCCUUCUAAGGUUGUAAUACUUGUCCUUUCAAGUAACUGUUACACGUGCUGAGGCUCUGCAUUCCAGGAUAUCUGCCUAAGUUCAAUGUUUUUGUUUGUCCAAGCCUUCAUCUCCUCAGCCGUGCAAGAGAUUUCUCCAAGACUCAUUAGGACACAGUUUGUUGUGUUUACUAAAAGCCAUGAUGCUCUAAGUGAAAAGGAAAACGGCAAAUUGAAUCCAGAAGUCACCCAAUUAUUUAAAUUAGCGUAAACCUAACAGGAUUUUUUUUUCAAAAUUGGAAGGACCUAGCAAGACCAGUCAACUUGACAGGGGAAAGUAAAAGUCAUGAGGAUUAGAUGUGCAAUGGAAGUUAAAAAAUUGAAAAAAAGAAAGAAAGAAAAUUAUCUGUAGCUAACUGGAGAAGGACAUGCUCAUCAGUAUGAGUAGUUCCAUGGGAACAUUUGCUUUAAGCAUAACACCUCUUUAUUUCCAGUUUUCAAUUCACGAGAAUUGCUGUCAUUAAAACAGGAAUAUUUUAAUUUUUUCUUUUCUUUUUUUAACUUUUUCACAAAUGUAAAAUGAAAAGCAGGAAAGUGUCUUGUUUGAAUAGUUUUUGUUGUUUAUUUGUCAUCAUCUGUGAUGUCCUGGGCAUUUGCCAAAAAUUCAGUAGAAGAUCUAUCCUCUGAAGAGUCAUUCAGAAUCUAAGGACAAACAGGCAAAGGUUACAGGAAACAGAUAUUGGUUAAAACAGAUCAAUAGGUAGUGAGAAAAAUGGUCUGUUUAACAUAUAGAUGUUCAAGUCACUUAAGAUGGGAUUGGCAUACACAAGAACUUAAAAGAAGGUCAGUAACUCUGUAGUGUCUCCAAUGGUAUUUCAGGAUGUUCUCAUUUGCAAAUGACAUUUUGCUGUUGCCAGAAUACUUGUAUUUUCUCCUUGAUACCUUUGCUUUCCUUACCAGCUUGACAGCUUCCUUGGCACCUAAAUACUGAUUACAUAUGUGCUAUGAAAGGGCUUCUGUUUCUAUUUAGACUGCAGAAAAAAAAAUCUUAAAAAGAGGAAUUAAAAAAUAAAAAAAAAUCAAUAUUGCUGGUGAAAUAAUAAUUACAUAAUAUUUCUUACUUGAAAAUAAUUUUAAGAUCAGGAUGAAUUAAUUUGGCAUUACUUCUAUCUGCUUUCUGUCCUGGCACGUAAAGACUUUAGGUUGAUUACUUUAAUACCACACAUUUCCACUUCUCCCUGGUGACCUCUAUAUGUGUGGUUUGCUGCAACUCAAAGCCCACCAUGGAAGAUACAUUUCUCAAUUUGUGCAGUAUAUCCUACUAAGCAUUGACGACUUGCUGCUGUUAUAAAAGAAACAAGUUUCUCCUAUGUUACAAAGCUUACUUCAAAGAAGUCUAAGACUGGAGAAAUGAAAAAGAAUGGUUGUUUCACUAUAUUUGACUUCAUUUCUCUUAUCUACUGAUUAAUGUUCUUCACUCAAUUGAGUAGAUGCCAGAAUUUAAGAACCUGACUGCUGAAUACUACAAGAGCACAGGUUUAUAUAUUGUUAAGACCACUGAACUAAAUCAUUUUUGUCUGAGAUGAAUCUUCCUGAACUACAUUUCUUGGAUAAUAAUGAAUACCUCAAGUCACCAGGGAAAAAAAGAAAUGGAGGAGAAUUGGCUGGAAGUUUUUGAGGACACAGUAAACCUCAAUCUUCUAGAUAAAUCUGUGCUUCUGAUUCUAGCAUUUUGUUAGCUGGUGCUACUACAUAUUCCAACAGGGGAAUGCUGUUGGAAUAUGUAGUUCAUGAACAGAAUUCACCAUGCUCCAAAAAUGACAAAGUAACAUAACUUUUGUUUCUGUCUAUAAGAAGUCACUAAUCAUACAAGAGGCUGAAUACAGAUAAUUAUUUCAGAAUAGUAAAAAGUGAACAGUGAAACAGACUCCUCAGAUGUGAUCUUCAGUAAAGAAAGGCAUUUUGUGAGGUAAAAUGGCCUUCAGGAAUAUUAGCUGCCUGCUCAUGAAUCAAAAUAAAGCUUUUUACUGGUCCCUAACUGCAUAGUGAGCUCUAGAAUGUACAAAAAGUAAAUACAGAAUACUACUUAUGUGUUUUAUCUUUGUUGCUAUCAAAAUAUUCUGUCAUUUAAACAUUCAUAUUUUAGGAAUGUUGCAGGAAGGUUUUUGGGAGCUGUUACUGAUCCAACUGUUCAAGUUUGAAUCCUUUGGGAAUUAACAGCUCUCUGUUGUCAGUUGUAUAUUCUUUUAAACAACUUCUUAAACUAUGUGUUAUUUACAUCUAUGUUGCUAAAGUAUCCUGUGCUGUUUUACAUGCUCCUAUAGCCAAAUGUUUAUAUAUUCCUUAAAUUCAUACUGUGUGCAGAGUGAGAAAAGGGAUGAUCAUCACUUUCUGUAGUUGUAAAAAGGAGGCACUGCGGUGCAUAUUCUUCCCCUGAGUUUUCAGAGAACCAUGGAAAGAGGUGCAAACAGGUGCAGGGAAUUACAGGUAUAUCAGUGCCAUGAGAUUUGAUACAGCUCAGUGAGAACAAAGAUACCUCUGAUACUUUAAUUUCAUGAAAUUAAAGCAUCUUCAGAUGCAAAAUAUUUUCAGAUGUAAAAUCUUUUCUAGCCAAGACACUAUUUGAAAAGCCAUCCAACCUGUUCCCUUCCUUAUAGUAAGGAAGUCCAUAGUUGGUAAGAAAGGCUAGAAUGUUGUAAUUCACAUUUCUACUGAUAAUGACUGAAUUCUAAAUUCUUUACAUUUUAAAACUUUCUUACUCAUGUAUGAUCUUUUAAAUAUUUCAUAUGAAAUAAAAUUGUUUGGAACUUUGAAAAGCAGAACUUGUUCUUAUUUUCUUUUCAUCACAUAAGGAAAUUGAGAAUUAUGCAUAAUUGUCUUGACAUUUUAUUUCAGUAUAUCAGCUUCUGAUGAUCAAUGAAACUCUUCAGUAGAUAUGGGUUUGAAAGCCAAGGAAUUAAGCAAUCCUAGUCUUUAUCAGUCCUUAUCAUUGAAUUCCUGUAUUAUUUUAAGUGGGGCGGAAAAAGUUCUCAGCGGCCAUCUUUCCCUCAAUCUAAAUAGAUGUGAUAUUUAUGACAAAGUUAGUUCAUAUACAAAGCAAAUAAUAUGGAAGUUUUUAAAAAUCGUCAUUCCUUUCUACUUUCUAAAUUCAAAUUCAUGUCAAUUUUCAUUUGGUGGUAAAAACAAUUCAUGGGGUACAAACUAAUUUGGUCUUCAGCAGCAUAACUUUGCACUCACCCUUCUUGCAGUUGCACUUGACCACAAAUCUCUAAAUUCUCUUUUAAUUUUUCAAAAUUAUUUUAUUGAAUGUUAUAGAAGCAAAUUUUUUGGAUCUUUCUCCAGCCAUGGAAAACUAAAAUGUAUUCAGUGUGGCCUUUUCAACUUCCAUACUUCUCUAGGCUGUCAAUAAACAGGUAUGUCACUGAACACCAUCUGCACACAGAUUCAGCAACACAGUUGGAACAUUCUUAGUGUUCAAAGAGAGGUCAGCCCUUGUUUUCACUUGCAACUUUGCCUCGUUGGAUCUAAAACAAUCUGAGACACUUCAGUAAUUUUUCAUCUGUGGUUCUGCUGAAUUUGUUUUGCUGUUACUUGGAAAGGAUGAGAGCUGUUUUCUAUUUGUACAAUCAAAAAUUGUUAUUUCUAUCUGUGUGUUAUGCCUGGCUGUGAUACUGAACAUCAUGCUUUUUAUUCUCUAGCAUUAAGAUUGCUUGAUGAAUCAGAGGCGGAACUCCAGCUUGCUUUUUGUUACCGUAUAAAAGGACUCCUACAGUUACUUUGAGUCUAAAAGUAAUUGGGUGAAUGCAUCUUUCCCAGUGCUGUAAAAACAGGCAGAGUAAUCUUCUUAGCCUGGACUCCCAGAUAUCUGGACCCAGUCCAACUCUACUCUGAAAGCAACAAAACAUAAAAUCAUAGAAUGGCAUAGGCUUAAAGGAACCUUGAGACUAUCAAGUUCCAAUCUCCCUGCCAUAGGCAGGGACACCUUCCACUAGACCAGGUAGCCCAGAGAUCCAUCCAACCUGUCUUUGAGUGCCUCCAGAGAUGGAGCAUUAACAGCUUAUCUGGGCAGUCUGUUCCUCAUCACCUGCUGAGUAAGGAAUUUCCUCCUGAAAUCUAAUCUAAAUCUUCCCUCCUCUAGUUCCCCUUGUGCCACUGCUUGUAUCCUGCAGUUCUUGUCAGGGCUAAUUAACACAGGGACAGGUCACCCAAUUACUCUCUCACAGCUUUAGGGUCAGAGUUGACAUGUGGUAACCAGAUAUGCUGGUAUAUGGCAUGUUCAUAGGUCUUUCCCCGAGUAACCCAGUCACUGCUUUCUCCCAUUGCAAAAGUAACUGUGGUAUUAAAAUGCAAGCAAUAGAAUGUUUUCACGAAAGAGACAACAUCUUUCUUCCAAGGUAUGAGAGAGAUGAAGCUCUGAGUAAUCAACUCUUGAUCUUCCCUGUAGAGAUAAGUAUUCAUUAGCAGUUGAUUACAAAGAACACAGUCUAGAUAGCCUGUAUCUAUCCAUGCAAUGCAUUAGUUCAACCUUUAUUAGUACAGAUAAUAUUCUUAUUUGGAGAGCUAUGGUGACAUGUGAAACAAAAUUGGUCUAGUCCAAAAGCGAAGAAAUUGGAAGGGGAAUGGUUUAUUAUUCCUCUGCCUUGUGAGACUUUCUAUUUUUCAGGCUUUUGGCUGAAAAAUCGUGUGGAGUUGUUUCUACUUUUUCUUAAGCUGUUUUAUAUCUGUUCACUGACAAUAAGACAAUAUAUAUAAUGGAUGUACUCCUUAAUUAACAAUUAGACUGUUGAAAAUAUGUGAUUACUGAGUGCACUUGUAUGUUUGAAAGCAGAAAUUAUUUCAGGAUAGUUUGUAAAAUGUCAUAAGGGAGUAAUUUUUGUAUUUUGUUUCUCAUAAUCAAAUAUGCCUCCAAAGCUAUGUACUUCAGUUAAAUUUACUUGUUACAAAAUUUUGGGUACAUGAUGCUUCAUAUUAACUUCAUUGUUGGACUUAUAAAAAUCAAGAAUUCAAGAGAAGUAAAAUAAAGAAGCAAACCAAUAUUUUCUCAGUCUUCAACAAAUAAUAUUAUUUAGUUGUUUUAUUCCAUUAUUAGUUCCAGUUCGUUAUAUGUUACGUUAGGGGUGACACUGAAAUUGUAAGAACAAUGUAGUCUUACUACGUGUGACCAUACUGUUGGGUUGCUUUUGACAAGAAAGUAAAAAACAUUUCC
Gallus gallus (chicken) is the source of this 5218-nucleotide long non-coding RNA. RefSeq lists it as uncharacterized. The transcript has 5 exons. The record is from RefSeq and is a predicted model, not a curated record. NCBI's taxonomy places the organism in Eukaryota, Metazoa, Chordata, Aves, Galliformes, Phasianidae.